Molecule: ribosomal RNA, 468 nt
Filed under: uncultured bacterium
Lineage: Bacteria
Description: partial 16S ribosomal RNA
Rfam family: Bacterial small subunit ribosomal RNA
Source: RNAcentral
GACGAACGCUGGCGGCGUGCUUAACACAUGCAAGUCGAACGGAAAGGCCCUGCUUUUGUGGGGCUCUCGAGUGGCGAAGGUGUGUGUAACACGUGAGUAUCCCGCACCUGACUUGGGGAUAUCUUCAGGAAACUGCGGAUAAUACCGGAUAGGAGCUCCUGCUGCAUGGGGGGGGUUGGAAAGUUUCGGUGGUUGUGGAUGGACUCGCGGCUUAUCAGCUUGUUGGUGGAGUAGUGGCGAACCAGGGGUUUGACGGGUAGCCGGCAUGGGAGGGUGGACGGCCACCAUAGGACUGAGAUACGGACCAGACGCCAACGGUAGGCAGCAGUGGGGAAUAUUGCACAAUGGGCGGAAGCCUGAUGCAGCGACGCCGCGUUCGGGAUGACGGCCUUCGGGGUGUAAACCGCUUUCGCCUGUGACGAAGCGUGAGUGACGGUAAUGAGUAAAGAAGCACCGGCUAACUACGUG